AGGGAUGGCCCAGUGAGGCCUGUUGUACGAACUUUUUAUGAUCAUCAACAACCUAUAAAUGACUUGGAUUUUCAUCCACAAAAUACAGUACUCAUAUCUGGAUCAAAAGAUCGCACCAUCAAGUUCUUUGAUUUUUCCAAAGCGGUAGCAAAGAGAGCAUUUAGAGUGAUUCAGGAUACACAUAAUGUAAGGUCGGUGUCAUUUCAUCCUUCAGGGGACUAUCUUCUGGCAGGAACUGAUCAUUCAAUUCCCCACCUAUAUGACAUAAACACUUUCAAAUGCUACCUGCCACUAAAUUUCCAAGAUAUGGGUGUCAAUAGUGCUAUUAAUCAGGUUAGGUAUUCAUCUACAGGUGGAAUG
RNAcentral lists this unclassified non-coding RNA (360 nucleotides) under Hevea brasiliensis (rubber tree). The record is from RNAcentral. Lineage: Eukaryota; Viridiplantae; Streptophyta; Magnoliopsida; Malpighiales; Euphorbiaceae.